AUUGAACGCUGGCGGCAGGCCUAACACAUGCAAGUCGAGCGAGCGGCGGACGGGUGAGUAAUGUCUGGGAACCUGCGUGAUGGAGGGGGAUAACACCUGGAAACGGUAGCUAAAAUCGCACACAAUCAGAUGUGCCCAGAUGGGGUUGGAUAGUAGGUGGGGUAAUGGCUCACCUAGGCGACGAUCCCUAGCUGGUCUGAGAGGAUGACCAGCCACACUGGGACUGAGACACGGUCCAGACUCCUACGGGAGGCAGCAGUGGGGAAUAUUGCACAAUGGGCGCAAGCCUGAUGCAGCCAUGCCGCGUGUAUGAAGAAGGCCUUCGGGUUGUAAAGUACUUUCAGCGGGGAGGCGUUACCCGCAGAAGAAGCACCGGCUAACUCCGUGCCAGCAGCCGCGGUAAUAC
RNAcentral lists this ribosomal RNA (406 nucleotides) under uncultured bacterium. RNAcentral's name for it is "partial 16S ribosomal RNA". It matches the Rfam family "Bacterial small subunit ribosomal RNA", at positions 30 to 526 of the family's 1533-position model. The record is from RNAcentral.